ACUCCUACGGGAGGCAGCAGUGGGGAAUCUUGCACAAUGGAGGAAACUCUGAUGCAGCGAUGCCGCGUGAGUGAAGAAGGCCUUUGGGUUGUAAAGCUCUUUUGUAGGGGAAGAUAAUGACUGUACCCUAAGAAUAAGGUCCGGCUAACUUCGUGCCAGCAGCCGCGGUAAUAC
Molecule: ribosomal RNA, 174 nt
Filed under: uncultured bacterium
Lineage: Bacteria
Description: partial 16S ribosomal RNA
Rfam family: Bacterial small subunit ribosomal RNA
Source: RNAcentral